Molecule: ribosomal RNA, 253 nt
Filed under: uncultured bacterium
Lineage: Bacteria
Description: partial 16S ribosomal RNA
Rfam family: Bacterial small subunit ribosomal RNA
Source: RNAcentral
UACGUAGGGUGCAAGCGUUGUCCGGAAUUAUUGGGCGUAAAGAGUUCGUAGGCGGUUUGUCGCGUCUGCCGUGAAAGUCCGGGGCUCAACUCCGGAUCUGCGGUGGGUACGGGCAGGCUAGAGUUCGGUAGGGGAGACUGGAAUUCCUGGUGUAGCGGUGAAAUGCGCAGAUAUCAGGAGGAACACCGAUGGCGAAGGCAGGUCUCUGGGCAUUAACUGACGCUGAGGAGCGAAAGCAUGGGGAGCGAACAGG